Molecule: long non-coding RNA, 322 nt
Filed under: Zea mays
Lineage: Eukaryota; Viridiplantae; Streptophyta; Magnoliopsida; Poales; Poaceae
Description: long non-coding RNA (ZMAY_LNC005047)
Source: RNAcentral
CCCGCCGCUCAGCGCGCGGCUUCGUCGUCACAACUCCUAUAUCUUCAUAAAUAUAUAUAUCCACUACCUAUAUAUACCUACCGAUAUGUGAAUGCGAGGAGUACUAUUACCUGCAUGUUUUCAGCAGUAUGCAGCUACGUACAUAUAUAUGUACCGGAUCGCCUAACGACGUGAAUGUAAUAAGCAAUAAUAUUUUCUACCGCUUUUUUUUAUUUCUUUCUAACCUCGAGCUUCUAUAUGUAGCAACAACAUUUUCUACGUACAUAUAUAUGUGCCACCCGUAUUCCGACUGAUAUACCUAUCACUAGUACAAAAGAGAUCU